Gasterosteus aculeatus aculeatus (three-spined stickleback) is the source of this 1865-nucleotide non-coding RNA. The record is from RefSeq and is a predicted model, not a curated record. NCBI's taxonomy places the organism in Eukaryota, Metazoa, Chordata, Actinopteri, Perciformes, Gasterosteidae.
GCUUAUUAGCUCUCGAGCUGUCUGCCCUUGACUGACCCACGUGAGUCCGUUUAGCUUCGCGCAGUCCCAAGCCAAGCCGGUAGCUAAUCAAACUAGCUAAACAAGAGAGAGGCGGAAUUAAAACUACUUGUUUUAUCUCCUUAUUUCAGUCCGAACGGUCUGGCCGGACACCAGGCUAAGCUAACAUGUCACGUAGCAGCAAGUCCAUGUUGUUUCUGCUGCAGCGGUGCGUCGCAGUCAGAAAAGUUACGCUACCGGCAGCUAUCAGAACAAGAUGGAGCAGCGCGCUGUCGGCCCGGAGCCUGCUCGCUCUGCCGCCGACAUGGACCUCCACAACCUGGGCAGUCGGUCAGCUGCAGUGCGCGGUGACAACCAGCCAGUACCGGUUCUGUACCAAGGCAGGAGAACCUUGCGAGGACGAGUACCCCCCCCUGCCGGCCUAUCAGUCUGAUCCAGAUCAGGGGAAGAAGGAGGUGUACAUCAUGCAGGUGAGGGGUCUCCCCUGGGGCUGCUCGGCUCAGGACCUCCUGCAGUUCUUCUCAGAGUGUCGGAUACGUGACGGCGUGAAGGGGAUCCACCUCACCGCGGACCGGGCGGGGAGGUCCUCGGGACAGGCCUUCAUCGAGAUGGAGCACGAGGAGGACGUCGGAAAGGCUCUGGAGAAGCACCGGCAGUACCUCGGCCCGCGAUAUGUGGAAGUGUACGAGGUGACCAACAGCGACGCGGAGGCCAUCCUGAAGAAGGCCGCCCAGGCUCCGGCGGGGAGCGAGGCGGUGGUGCGUAUCAGAGGGCUCCCCUACUCCUCCACCAAGGACGACAUCGUGCAGUUCUUUUCGGGUCUGGACAUCGCGGAGGAUGGGAUCACCGUGGUCACGGACCGCAAAGGGAGGAACUCCGGAGAGGCCUUUGUGCAGUUCUCCUCCCAACAAGCAGCCGACGAAGCGCUGCAGAGAGACCGAGAGGUCAUCGGAGAGAGAUACAUCGAGGUGUUUCCCAGCAGAAGGGACCAGAUUCAUUCCAGUAAGACGCGGAAGACGAGCUCGGCUUUCCCUCAGGCAGAGCACAGGGCCGCCUUCGCCUCGCAGACCAGGACUGGGUCCGCUCACUUCAUCCACAUGAGGGGGCUUCCCUUCAAGGUGACCAGAGACGACAUCGUUAAGUUCUUCGCUCCUCUCGACGUGUCGGAGGUGGUGAUUGACAGCCGCGCCGGAGGACGGCCGAGCGGCGAGGCAGACGUUUACUUCAGCUGCCACCAGGACGCCAUGAACGCCAUGUCCAGAGACCGGAUGUACAUAGGAGAAAGAUACAUCGAGUUAUUCCUGAACUCUGACUCCGAUGGAAAGAAGUGAGAAAGCUGGAACGUCUCGACAGAACAAUGCUCAAUUUAGAUAUUUCUGAUUCUCGUGGUGUCUGUGCUGCAUCCCUCGUUUAAUAUGUCAGUUUACUAGUUUUAGCGACAGACUCCACAUGUGCUUUAACAAGUUCUAUUUUCCCCUGCAGGUGAACAAAGACGCCCAAAAUACACACAGGACUGUUAUUGAUUUGCCAGCUCGGCCUGGACAUCGAACGACAAACAUUCCUGUUGUCAAAGGACUUUAUUUCCUUCUCCGUCCAACGAGGAGGAGUGAGUCUCAGUUGGAGAUCGACAUAAAGCGCUUAAAAGAAUGGAAGGUGUAUUCGUUAUUUAACUGGUGACAAACAUGAAAACAUCACAAUAAAUACAGUUUACUCAUUUGUCAGCAAGGAGUUUAUCAGACACAUCAAAGCCUUUUUUCUGAAUAUUUAUUCUGGAAAUGUAAAUUCCUGUAAAAAUCCUCAAAUCUGUUUUUACAGAAAUAUUCAAUAAACAUAAUAUGCUUAUGCUA